This 301-nucleotide ribosomal RNA is filed under the name uncultured bacterium. Its description in RNAcentral is "partial 16S ribosomal RNA". It matches the Rfam family "Bacterial small subunit ribosomal RNA", at positions 509 to 807 of the family's 1533-position model. The record is from RNAcentral.
CAGUAGCCGCGGUAAUACGGAGGGUGCAAGCGUUGUCCGGAUUUAUUGGGUUUAAAGGGUGCGUAGGCGGCUAUUUAAGUCAGCGGUGAAAGACUCCGGCUCAACCGGAGCAGUGCCAUUGAUACUGGAUAGCUUGAGUGUUGGAGGGGUACAUGGAAUUGAUGGUGUAGCGGUGAAAUGCAUAGAUACCAUCAGGAACACCGAUAGCGAAGGCAUUGUACUGGCCAACAACUGACGCUGAGGCACGAAAGCAUGGGGAGCGAACAGGAUUAGAUACCCCAGUAGUCCCUGUCUCUUAUAC